AACCUUAUAGUCAAUAAAAUGAUAAUAGAUUGCAAGUCUGGAGUAGUAAAGUACUAAGGUUU
This 62-nucleotide transfer RNA is filed under the name unidentified. Its description in RNAcentral is "Iphicrates gressitti tRNA-Cys". The record is from RNAcentral.